CAGUCGCCGCGGUAAUACAGAGGGUGCGAGCGUUAAUCGGAUUUACUGGGCGUAAAGCGUGCGUAGGCGGCUUUUUAAGUCGGAUGUGAAAUCCCUGAGCUUAACUUAGGAAUUGCAUUCGAUACUGGGAAGCUAGAGUAUGGGAGAGGAUGGUAGAAUUCCAGGUGUAGCGGUGAAAUGCGUAGAGAUCUGGAGGAAUACCGAUGGCGAAGGCAGCCAUCUGGCCUAAUACUGACGCUGAGGUACGAAAGCAUGGGGAGCAAACAGGAUUAGAUACCCCGGUAGUCCCUGUCUCUUAUCC
RNAcentral lists this ribosomal RNA (301 nucleotides) under uncultured bacterium. RNAcentral describes it as "partial 16S ribosomal RNA". It matches the Rfam family "Bacterial small subunit ribosomal RNA", at positions 509 to 809 of the family's 1533-position model. The record is from RNAcentral.